Molecule: transfer RNA, 48 nt
Filed under: Achelia bituberculata
Lineage: Eukaryota; Metazoa; Arthropoda; Pycnogonida; Pantopoda; Ammotheidae
Description: tRNA-Trp
Source: RNAcentral
AAGAUUUUAAGUUAAAAAAACUGUUAACCUUCAAAGUUAAAAAUAAAU